This 506-nucleotide ribosomal RNA is filed under the name uncultured bacterium. Its description in RNAcentral is "partial 16S ribosomal RNA". It matches the Rfam family "Bacterial small subunit ribosomal RNA", at positions 29 to 523 of the family's 1533-position model. The record is from RNAcentral.
AGUGAACGCUGGCGGUAGGCCUAACACAUGCAAGUCGAACGGCAGCACAGGAGAGCUUGCUCUCUGGGUGGCGAGUGGCGGACGGGUGAGGAAUACAUCGGAAUCUACUUUUUCGUGGGGGAUAACGUAGGGAAACUUACGCUAAUACCGCAUACGACCUACGGCUGAAAGCAGGGGAUCUUCGGACCUUGCGCGAAUGAAUGGACCGAUGUCGGAUUAGCUAGUUGGCGGGGUAAAGGCCCACCAAGGCGACGAUCCGUAGCUGGUCUGAGAGGAUGAUCAGCCACACUGGAGCUGAGACACGGUCCAGACUCAUACGGGGGGCAGCAGUGGGGAAUAUUGGACAAUGGGCGCAAGCCUGAUCCAGCCAUACCGCGUGGGUGAAGAAGGCCUUCGGGUUGUAAAGCCCUUUUGUUGGGAAAGAAAUCCAGCUGGUUAAUACCCGGUUGGGAUGACGGUACCCAAAGAAUAAGCACCGGCUAACUUCGUGCCAGCCGCCGCGGUAA